GGUUCCAUGGUCUAGCGGUUAGGACAUUGGACUCUUAAUCUAGUAACCCGAGUUCAAAUUACGGUGCAACCU
Molecule: transfer RNA, 72 nt
Filed under: Oryza glumipatula
Lineage: Eukaryota; Viridiplantae; Streptophyta; Magnoliopsida; Poales; Poaceae
Rfam family: tRNA
About the family: Transfer RNA (tRNA) molecules are approximately 80 nucleotides in length. Their secondary structure includes four short double-helical elements and three loops (D, anti-codon, and T loops). Further hydrogen bonds mediate the characteristic L-shaped molecular structure. tRNAs have two regions of fundamental functional importance: the anti-codon, which is responsible for specific mRNA codon recognition, and the 3' end, to which the tRNAs corresponding amino acid is attached (by aminoacyl-tRNA synthetases). tRNAs cope with the degeneracy of the genetic code in two manners: having more than one tRNA (with a specific anti-codon) for a particular amino acid; and 'wobble' base-pairing, i.e. permitting non-standard base-pairing at the 3rd anti-codon position.
Source: Rfam by way of RNAcentral